CUGUUCGAGCGUUAUUUCAACCCUCAAGCCCCCGCGGUUUGGUGUUGGGGGCCGGCGAUUGUCAGCUGGGCCGCUCUGGCGGUUCCCUGCGGCUCCGCCCCCGAAAUGAAUUGGCGGCCCCGUCGCGGCCUCCUCUUGCGUUAGUUAGCCUACU
This 154-nucleotide ribosomal RNA is filed under the name Metarhizium rileyi. RNAcentral's name for it is "partial large subunit ribosomal RNA". Lineage: Eukaryota; Fungi; Ascomycota; Sordariomycetes; Hypocreales; Clavicipitaceae. The record is from RNAcentral.